RNAcentral lists this ribosomal RNA (491 nucleotides) under uncultured bacterium. RNAcentral describes it as "partial 16S ribosomal RNA". It matches the Rfam family "Bacterial small subunit ribosomal RNA", at positions 29 to 506 of the family's 1533-position model. The record is from RNAcentral.
AGUGAACGCUGGCGGUAGGCCUAACACAUGCAAGUCGAACGGCAGCACAGUAAGAGCUUGCUCUUACGGGUGGCGAGUGGCGGACGGGUGAGGAAUACAUCGGAAUCUACUUUUUCGUGGGGGAUAACGUAGGGAAACUUACGCUAAUACCGCAUACGACCUACGGGUGAAAGCAGGGGAUCUUCGGACCUUGCGCGAUUGAAUGAGCCGAUGUCGGAUUAGCUAGUUGGCGGGGUAAAGGCCCACCAAGGCGACGAUCCGUAGCUGGUCUGAGAGGAUGAUCAGCCACACUGGAACUGAGACACGGUCCAGACUCCUACGGGAGGCAGCAGUGGGGAAUAUUGGACAAUGGGCGCAAGUCUGAUCCAGCCAUACCGCGUGGGUGAAGAAGGCCUUCGGGUUGUAAAGCCCUUUUGUUGGGAAAGAAAAGCAGCAGGUUAAUACCCCGCUGUUCUGACGGUACCCAAAGAAUAAGCACCGGCUAACUUCGU